CCCUCUUAUCAACUUUAAUGCAAAUUAAAUUAGGAUCAACUGUUUUUACCAAGCAAUUUGCUUCGUACGGAAAUAAAUCACGGUGAUGUGCUAUGGAUGCGGUGGGACUAGAGUUGCUGCCAUCAACGUCCAUUAUUUUUGACAAAGAAAAGAACUCAUGCAUGAAGGAUGAGACCGCGCUAGAGACAUGCAAGUUGGAUGCGGCAUCAAUUCUCGCCGCCGGAAGCGUUGCAAUCGUCAGCCGUGAGCUCGGCGCCGUGAUCUAUGACGCCAAGCUAAGCAUAGACGCCAUCGUAGCAUGAGUAGUCCAGUGUGUAUCUAUUACCUCGACAUUAUAAGUCAUGACGCCGAGACAUAUUAUAUUGUCGUCAUGAUUUAUAGCGCCCAGCAAAAGGCCUAAAAACGACAUUAAAUCGUCAAAGGUCUAAACAUGAAUUUGUUUCAAAAAAAGACCAACUACAAAAAAAAAAUUAGGCAUAUUUGCGUUAAUGAAGGAUUCCCAAAUCCUCUAUAGCUUACGUCAGCUGACGGCAACAAUUAGUAUUUGAAAUUUUGUUACAUGGUUACGGUCGUAAUAAUCUGGCGGCGUGCAGGCACAUGCAAGUGUCUUGAUGCUUUUCGCGUGUGGAACCAAAUUGUGAGCUGUACCGGCUUCCCAAGAUUUCUACGUGCUACUUUAGUUGAUAUGCAGGGUCGUCAGUUUUUUUAGCUUUCUACCAAAAAAAUCA
Molecule: long non-coding RNA, 728 nt
Filed under: Zea mays
Lineage: Eukaryota; Viridiplantae; Streptophyta; Magnoliopsida; Poales; Poaceae
Description: drought responsive lncRNA
Source: RNAcentral